Enterobius vermicularis (human pinworm) is the source of this 45-nucleotide non-coding RNA. Lineage: Eukaryota; Metazoa; Nematoda; Chromadorea; Rhabditida; Oxyuridae. The record is from Rfam.
CCAACGGCCCUCAUUAGGGCCACAUAUGCAUGAAUCAAAUUUCCC